RNAcentral lists this ribosomal RNA (1430 nucleotides) under uncultured organism. RNAcentral's name for it is "16S ribosomal RNA". It matches the Rfam family "Bacterial small subunit ribosomal RNA". The record is from RNAcentral.
CAGGCUUAACACAUGCAAGUCGAGGGGCAGCAUGGUCUUAGCUUGCUAAGGCCGAUGGCGACCGGCGCACGGGUGAGUAACGCGUAUCCAACCUGCCUUACACUCUUGGACAGCCUUCUGAAAGGGAGAUUAAUACAAGAUGUUAUCAUGAGUAAGCAUUUUCACAUGAUUAAAGGUUUACCGGUGUAAGAUGGGGAUGCGUUCCAUUAGAUAGUAGGCGGGGUAACGGCCCACCUAGUCUUCGAUGGAUAGGGGUUCUGAGAGGAAGGUCCCCCACAUUGGAACUGAGACACGGUCCAAACUCCUACGGGAGGCAGCAGUGAGGAAUAUUGGUCAAUGGACGAGAGUCUGAACCAGCCAAGUAGCGUGAAGGAUGAAGGUUCUAUGGAUUGUAAACUUCUUUUAUACGGGAAUAAACGGAUCCACGUGUGGAUUUUUGCAUGUACCGUAUGAAUAAGGAUCGGCUAACUCCGUGCCAGCAGCCGCGGUAAUACGGAGGAUCCGAGCAUUAUCCGGAUUUAUUGGGUUUAAAGGGAGCGUAGAUGGGUUGUUAAGUCAGUUGUGAAAGUUUGCGGCUCAACCGUAAAAUUGCAAUUGAUACUGGCAGUCUUGAGUACAGUUGAGGUAGGCGGAAUUCGUGGUGUAGCGGUGAAAUGCUUAGAUAUCACGAAGAACUCCGAUUGCGAAGGCAGCUUACUAACCUGUAACUGACAUUGAUGCUCGAAAGUGUGGGUAUCAAACAGGAUUAGAUACCCUGGUAGUCCACACGGUAAACGAUGAAUACUCGCUGUAGGCGAUAUACAGUCUGCGGCCAAGCGAAAGCAUUAAGUAUUCCACCUGGGGAGUACGCCGGCAACGGUGAAACUCAAAGGAAUUGACGGGGGCCCGCACAAGCGGAGGAACAUGUGGUUUAAUUCGAUGAUACGCGAGGAACCUUACCCGGGCUUAAAUUGCAACCGAAUAUGGCGGAAACGCUAUAGCUAGCAAUAGCGGUUGUGAAGGUGCUGCAUGGUUGUCGUCAGCUCGUGCCGUGAGGUGUCGGCUUAAGUGCCAUAACGAGCGCAACCCUUGCCGAUAGUUACUAACAGGUCAUGCUGAGGACUCUGUCGGGACUGCCAUCGUAAGAUGUGAGGAAGGUGGGGAUGACGUCAAAUCAGCACGGCCCUUACGUCCGGGGCUACACACGUGUUACAAUGGGGGGUACAGAGGGCUGCUACCACGCAAGUGGAUGCCAAUCCCAAAAACCUCUCUCAGUUCGGAUUGAAGUCUGCAACCCGACUUCAUGAAGCUGGAUUCGCUAGUAAUCGCGCAUCAGCCACGGCGCGGUGAAUACGUUCCCGGGCCUUGUACACACCGCCCGUCAAGCCAUGGGAGCCGGGGGUACCUGAAGUGCGUAACCGCAAGGAGCGCCCUAGGGUAAAACUGGUGAC